This 115-nucleotide ribosomal RNA is filed under the name Chinchilla lanigera (long-tailed chinchilla). Lineage: Eukaryota; Metazoa; Chordata; Mammalia; Rodentia; Chinchillidae. The record is from RNAcentral.
GUCUACGGCCAUACCACCCUGAACGCACCCGAUCUUGUCUAUCUCAGAAGCUAAGCUGGGUCGGGCCUGGUUAGUACUUGGAUGGGAGAGCAUGAACACACAGGAACUGUGCUUA